CCGCCUGCGCCUCCCGUGACGCCGCCUGCGCCCCCCUGACGCCGCCUGCGCGCCCCCUGGGUUUUCGGCGACAGCGAAGGAGAGUCCGGGCUGCAGCCGAGCCCCUAGCCGGCGGGCGGCCGCACCGCCGCCCUUAACUGCGAGUCUCCGGUAAGGCAUUUAGCUAGAAGGGGCUUCAGUUCCCCACUUCAAGCCACCACUUUGAAAUCCCUCGAAAAAUCAACCACAGCAACCACUUAUAAAUGAAAAAAAUAACUCUGAUGAAGUAAAAUUUCCUUCCUUUUGAUUUAUGUCUGUGGAUAGAAGGCCAACGCUGUCAGAGCACACACCCUGUGCCGGUCACAUAAGCUGCUGCAGGAGGCUCCUGUGUCGGGGGUCCCCAUUCUUCACCCUCCACAGAUGCAUCCCCUUCUCCACGUGGAGACUCCUCAGUUCCUUCCAUUGAAGAGACAGCGCUGCUUCUCUGGACCCUUGACUCUGAGUCAGGCCAUGUGACUUGUUCUGGUCAAUGGGAUGCCUGCUGAUGUGACACCUGAGGAGGCUCAGGACAGACUUGUGUUUUUCUGUGCCACUGCUGUGAGCGUGUGCCUGGGCUCUGGCUGAGGGAUGAGGUGUGAGGUGAAUCAUCCCAGAUGGGGCCAUCCUGGACCAUCCAACAGCAGCUUCUCUGGACAGGGUGUUCAUAAGAAUGGAAGCAGUGUUUCCUUACUAGAUUCCUUAUUGCUAUAUCUCAUGAACCUACGUAAUCUUGGGGAAAAGCCUGUAUUUCAUGAUGACAAACCUGUCACCAGUAUAGCAACAACAGUUUUUCCAAGAUGAACCGAUACACAACCAUGAGGCAGCUGGGGGAUGGCACCUAUGGGAGUGUGCUUAUGGGCAAGAACAACGAAUCCGGGGAGCUGGUGGCCAUCAAAAGGUAACUGACAUUGGGAUGGAAGAGGAGAAAUAACAAAAUUCAAGAAAGCAAUUUCUAAAGGAUGAAGAGAAAGUUCUAUUCUUGGGAUGAAUGUAUGAACUUAAGAGAAGUUAAGCCCGAAUGCCACCCCUCCCGCCUGCCGCCUGCCCCAGGAACCCAUAUUAACUAGCUGGGCAAUGGUAGUUUGGCUAAGCAUGGGAUUUCCAGGCUGCUGGUUUUUUCUCUGCAUGGUCUACACAAGUUACUCCACUAUCUUCAGUUUCGGGUGUCACAGAUAAGAAAUUUGCUGCCAGUCUGAUGCUUCUUCAUGGUUGUCAUCUGUCUCUGGCUGCUGCUCGAUGGCAUUAAGGAUGGGUUCUAUCUGUUCUUACGGACUGUCUUCUCCAGCUGUGGUGCCAUCAUCUUUCUUUGUUACAUCAUGGGGGUUCAGGUCUCACUGCUGAGCACCCAUGCGACUGCAGUUCCAUGAGUGGUGGCGAGCACCUUGCUCUCUGCUCCUGUGACCCAGCAGUGCAACAGCAGGCAGGCUGCUAGGGCCCUGCCAGGGCAACAGAAGACUUUCUGCUCCAUAACCUCAGAGACAGGAAGGACUCAAUCCAACUGCUGAUUUUCUCCUUGGUCUCUUGUGGAACACACACACAAUGGGGUGAUGUCAAUUUUCAGUUUUCCUCCCAGGAGAUCCCUAACCUCUGGAGGUGAAGCUCAUCAGAGUAUCCAAUGCAUUCUGAUCCUCCCAUAGGACUCAUCUGAUGCCAGCCCUCAGUGCCAGCCCAGCCCAGCCAAGGAAGAAAGCUCCCAUCUGCUCCCCACUCUCUAUCCUCAACUUCCACAAAGCUUGGGGCUUCACCUUCACUCAGGAUUCCAGCAGUGGUUUGGGUCAGGAGAGAGGAAGAGAGUGUAGGCCUGAGAGAAGCAGGAGUGCAAGCUACUUUAGCUUGCUAUCUUCCCAGAAUCCUCACCAACUAUAAUUCUGUGGGUUUUUUUCUUUUUGUUUUUUUUACCAAAUAUUUAUCCAGAUGGGAAACAUGGGAAUUUGUGAUAAAAGUUUAAAUUGUGGAAAACAUUGGCAAUACUAAUGUUCAGUGACUAUUACAUAAAGAUGCAUAUCAAACUGAUAUUCAUCUCUAAGUUCAUAACUAUUUUUAAAAUUCACAUAUUAGAAUUCUCCCUUUUGUACGUUCUUUUGUUUUCCCUCCUCUACAGCAAACCAUCUGACCCCAAGAAUCCAUAAACCGGACACCCCAGGGUAUAAGAAUCGUUUUAUUUUUCCCUUGGCUAUCUUUCCUAAGUUCUACCUUUUAAUUCACAGUGUAUUGCUAUAUACCAGUUAUAUCAAAAAGCCAUUAGAUAAGAAUUCUUCAUACUUUUCUAUUUCAAAAACAUACAUAUAUUUUUUUUUUAGACUUAGACUUUCUUGAGUCUUUCCUAUUUGGAUCUUGAACUGUUUGGGGUCUUCCUCCCUAAUUUUUCAUGAUAUAAUUCUUUUAUUUUAAAUUUUAAAAUUUACUAGCAGACUGUAUUACCUAAAUAUCCUUUGCCCUACCCUCUAUCCUGUGUGGUAAGUUGUUUGCAAAUAUGGCUAUAAUGAUUCUCCACAGUCCUGUACAAACAGCGUUUGCAUUGUGACUUUCUUUUCAUCCCAUCAACAGGUGGAGGAAUCUGUUUCCCCACCCUUUAAAUCCUGGCCUUGUGACUUGCUUUGACCAACAGAAAGAAGUUGCUUCAACUUCAUGCCCUCAAGGUGCCUUGCAGCUUCUGCUCUCCUGCUCUCGCUCUCUUGGACCCCUGAGAUCACCGUGUGAAGCAGCCCAGGCUGGUCUCCCUGAAGAUGAAAAACCAGAAAGAGAGAGAGAAGCCCAGAGAAAAUCCAGCAGCAACACCCGUCAAGUGAAUGAGUCCAUCAUAGACCAUCCAGAUUCAACUGAACCACCUAGGACAGCACCCAUUUGAAUGAGUGACUCUGAGACAGACCAGCAGGAGAGUCAGUUGCACUGAGCCCCGAAAACGCUGAUCCAGACUUACAAGCAAAUAAAAUGGCUGUUGUUUAAAGCUA
Lemur catta (Ring-tailed lemur) is the source of this 2969-nucleotide RNA transcript. It is a transcript of the gene named cyclin-dependent kinase 16-like, with no coding region annotated. The transcript is spliced from 10 exons. NCBI's taxonomy places the organism in Eukaryota, Metazoa, Chordata, Mammalia, Primates, Lemuridae. The record is from RefSeq and is a predicted model, not a curated record.